Alligator mississippiensis (American alligator) is the source of this 1445-nucleotide long non-coding RNA. RefSeq lists it as uncharacterized. The transcript is spliced from 3 exons. The record is from RefSeq and is a predicted model, not a curated record. NCBI's taxonomy places the organism in Eukaryota, Metazoa, Chordata, Crocodylia, Alligatoridae.
CCCGCCGGCGGGAAACGGCCCCUCAGUCCGGCGCGCAGGGGGCGGGUGGGAGCCACGUGGAGGGCGGGCGCGGGGCCCCGCCUUGUCACUGGCGGGGGGAGCGGGAAGGGGGGCGGCCCCCCCGGGCUGGAGCUCGCUGCCGUGGAGCCGCACACGGGGCACGUCGCUCCUCGCGGCCCGGCCUCUCCCGCCUCCACUUCCCGUCUCCGCUGCCUCAGGUCGUGCUGGCUCAGGCGAGCAGCCGGCGCCGCCUCCUCCAGGGGGUGUGCUGGGCCUGCCUCUGCUCCUUAACCCCCUCGCGGGGGCCGCCGGAUCUGCGUGCCCGGGCUUGCGACCGCGCUGCGCCCACGGCCACGGCCCCUCCGCCUCGCCCCGCGCGCACCCCGCUCUCCGGGGCAGGGGCAGGGGCAGGGGCGCGGCCCGGGGCGUCUCUGCGGUACGUGCGGAAACGUGAAGGUGGCCUCUCGGUUACAAACGAGCAAAGGACAAAAGACUGGAGUAGUGCUGGCCCGGGCUGCUGCAGCAACUUCACUGCCGCAACAACACGUAUGAAAUCCCCCCAGGGUAGGAGCCAGCACCGCUUCCCUUGGCAGUUGGUUCCAGAUCCUAGCCGCCCUGACAGUGAACUAGCGUCUUCGGAUGUCUAAUCUGAAUCUACUCUCUAGCAACUUAUGGCCGUUAUUCCUUGUUACUCUGGGAGGUGCUCAGGGGAACAAGGUCUCUCCAAAACCCCGCUGGUCCCCCCUGGUAAGUUUAUAGAUGGUCACCAGAUCCCUCUCAGCCUUCUCUUGUGGAGGCUGAACAGGUUCAGGCCCCGUAGCCUCUCCUUGUAGGGCCUGCCCUGCUGCCCCCUGAUCAUGCGGGUGGCCUCCUCUGGACCCUCUCCAUGCUGUCCACAUCCCUCCUGAAGUGCGGCUCCCAGAACUGGACGCAGUACUCCAACUGGGACCUGACCAGUGUCGCGUAGAGGGGGAGGAUCACCUCCUUGGACCUGCUCGAGAUGCAUCUGUGGAUACACGACAAGCUGGAACAGAUCAAAUAACUUCAGGGCUCCAGAACGCUACAAGGCCAAACAAGAGAGGACCUCUGACAUGGAGCUGAAGAGCCAGGUGGCAAGAGGAAGAGGGAGAGGAAAUCUCAUCGGUGUGUGUCUGCGAGCACAUGCACACCCACACUAAGUCAACCUGCUCUAUUUAUGUAGGUUGGAAGAAAUUAGACAACUUUCUCCCAUGGUACGUGUGCUGCUACACCUAUUGACAGGCAGGCUUAUUGAACUACUCUUAUUAAACUACAGGAGAGGGUGGAAAUACCUGUAUGCUGCCCUGUCCUCAGUCAUUGUUUCCCUUUGUUUAUUGCUUGAGCAGAUGAGGUGGUAUGGUUUAGAUCACUGCUCCAGGCAUAUAAAAUUGAAGUGGGGUCAUCACCUCACUUGCAACCAUUUCAAA